GCACAAGCGGUGGAGCAUGUGGUUUAAUUCGACGCAACGCGAAGAACCUUACCUGGGCUUGAACUACUGGUAGUAAGCUUUUGGAAACAUUAGCUGAUCCGCAAGGAAGCCAGCAGAGGUGCUGCAUGGUUGUCGUCAGCUCGUGUCGUGAGAUGUUGGGUUAAGUCCCGCAACGAGCGCAACCCCUAUUCGAUGUUGCUAAUCCCGCAAGGGAUGCACUCUUCGAAAACUGCCUUCGAUAAGAAGGAGGAAGGUGGGGACGACGUCAAAUCAUCAUGGCCCUUAUGUCCAGGGCUACACACGUGCUACAAUGGCCGGUACAACGGGAAGCAAUACCGCAAGGUGGAGCCAAACCCUUAAAGCCGGCCCCAGUUCAGAUCGUGGGCUGCAACUCGCCCACGUGAAGGCGGAAUCGCUAGUAAUCGCAGAUCAGCAGGCUGCGGUGAAUACGUUCCCGGGC
This 460-nucleotide ribosomal RNA is filed under the name uncultured bacterium. RNAcentral describes it as "bacterial SSU rRNA". It matches the Rfam family "Bacterial small subunit ribosomal RNA", at positions 923 to 1379 of the family's 1533-position model. The record is from RNAcentral.